Molecule: transfer RNA, 77 nt
Rfam family: tRNA
About the family: Transfer RNA (tRNA) molecules are approximately 80 nucleotides in length.
GGCUCCGUAGCUCAACUGGAUAGAGUAUCUGGCUUCGGACCAGAGGGUUGGGGGUUCGAAUCCCUCCGGGGUCACAA